CCUACGGGUGGCAGCAGUGGGGCAUAUUGCGCAAUGGGCGAAAGCCGGACGCAGCGACGCCGCGUGAGGGAUGAAGGUCUUCGGAUCGUAAAACUCUGUCAGCAGGGAAGAACGGUCACUGUGCUAAUCAGCAGUGAAUUGACGGUACCUGCCAAGGAAGCACCGGCUAACUACGGGCCAGCCGCCGAGGUAAUACGGAGGGUGCGAGCGUUAAUCGGAAUUACUGGGCGUAAAGCGAUCGUAGGCGGUAUGUCAAGUCAAGGGUGAAAUCCCCGCGCUCAACGUGGGAACUGCCUUUGAAACUGGCAAACUGUAGUGUGUGAGAGGAUAGUGGAAUUCCAGGUGUAGGAGUGAAAUCCGUAGAUAUCUGGAGGAACAUCAGUGGCGAAGGCGACUAUCUGGCACAUAACUGACGCUGAGGAGCGAAAGCGUGGGUAGCAAACAGGAUUAGAUACCCCAGUAGUC
This 465-nucleotide ribosomal RNA is filed under the name uncultured bacterium. RNAcentral describes it as "partial 16S ribosomal RNA". It matches the Rfam family "Bacterial small subunit ribosomal RNA", at positions 338 to 795 of the family's 1533-position model. The record is from RNAcentral.